GUGGAUUAGAUACCCUGGUAGUCCACGCCGUAAACGAUGGGUGCUAGGUGUGGGGGGUGUCGACUCCCUCCGUGCCGCAGCUAACGCAUUAAGCACCCCGCCUGGGGAGUACGGCCGCAAGGCUAAAACUCAAAGGAAUUGACGGGGGCCCGCACAAGCAGCGGAGCAUGUUGUUUAAUUCGACGCAACGCGAAGAACCUUACCUGGGCUUGACAUGCACGGGAAUGUCGUGGAAACACGGCAGCCCUUCGGGGCUCGUGCACAGGUGUUGCAUGGCCGUCGUCAGCU
This 288-nucleotide ribosomal RNA is filed under the name uncultured bacterium. Its description in RNAcentral is "partial 16S ribosomal RNA". It matches the Rfam family "Bacterial small subunit ribosomal RNA", at positions 773 to 1060 of the family's 1533-position model. The record is from RNAcentral.